RNAcentral lists this ribosomal RNA (885 nucleotides) under uncultured Bacteroidota bacterium. Its description in RNAcentral is "bacterial SSU rRNA". It matches the Rfam family "Bacterial small subunit ribosomal RNA", at positions 1 to 907 of the family's 1533-position model. The record is from RNAcentral. Lineage: Bacteria; Pseudomonadati; Bacteroidota.
GGAUCCAGACUUUGAUCCUGGCUCAUGACGAACGCUGGCGGCGUGCUUUAUACAUGCAAGUCGAACGAGAAUCUGACUUCGGUCAGUGGAAAGUGGCGGACGGGUGAGUAAAAUGUAGAGAAUCUGCCCUUGAGUGGGGGACAACAGUUGGAAACGAUUGCUAAUACCCCAUACGAGAUAGGCUGCAAUGUUUAUCUUGAAAACUCCGGUGCUCAAGGAUGAGUCUGCAUCUGAUUAGCUAGUUGGUGGUGUAAUGGACUACCAAGGCGAUGAUCAGUAGCUGGUUUGAGAGGAUGAUCAGCCACAAUGGGACUGAGACACGGCCCAUACUCCUACGGGAGGCAGCAGUAGGGAAUUUUGCGCAAUGGGGGAAACCCUGACGCAGCAACGCCGCGUGAUUGAUGAAGCCCUUCGGGGUGUAAAGAUCUGUCAGUAGGGACGAAUAAUGACUGUACCUACAGAGGAAGCACCGGCUAACUCCGUGCCAGCAGCCGCGGUAAUACGGGGGGUGCGAGCGUUGUCCGGAAUCAUUGGGCGUAAAGAGUUCGUAGGUGGUAUGUUAAGUCUGGUGUUAAAUUCCGAAGCUCAACUUCGGUACGGCACUGGAUACUGGCAAACUUGAAUGCGGUAGAGGUAAAGGGAAUUCCUGGUGUAGCGGUGAAAUGCGUAGAUAUCAGGAGGAACAUCGGUGGCGUAAGCGCUUUACUGGGCCGUAAUUGACACUGAGGAACGAAAGCCGGGGUAGCAAAUGGGAUUAGAUACCCCAGUAGUCCCGGCCGUAAACGAUGGAUACUAGGUGUUGCGGGUAUCGACCCCUGCAGUGCCGUAGCAAACGCGAUAAGUAUCCCGCCUGGGGAGUACGCACGCAAGUGUGCAACUCAAAGG